Molecule: ribosomal RNA, 497 nt
Filed under: uncultured bacterium
Lineage: Bacteria
Description: partial 16S ribosomal RNA
Rfam family: Bacterial small subunit ribosomal RNA
Source: RNAcentral
GAUGAACGCUGGCGGCGUGCCUAAUACAUGCAAGUCGAGCGAACGGACGAGAAGCUUGCGUCGCUGAUGUUAGCGGCGGACGGGUGAGUAACACGUGGAUAACCUACCUAUAAGACUGGGAUAACUUCGGGAAACCGUAGCUAAUACCGGAUAAUAUUGUGAACCGCAUGGUUCAAAAGUGAAAGACGGGCUUGCUGUCACUUAUAGAUGGAUCCGCGCUGCAUUAGCUAGUUGGUAAGGUAACGGCUUACCAAGGCAACGAUGCAUAGCCGACCUGAGAGGGUGAUCGGCCACACUGGAACUGAGACACGGUCCAGACUCCUACGGGAGGCAGCAGUAGGGAAUCUUACGCAAUGGGCGAAAGCCUGACGGAGCAACGCCGCGCGAGUGAUGACGGUCCUCGGAUCGUAAAACUCUGUUAUUAGGGAAGAACAUAUGUGUAAGUAACUGUGCACAUCUUGACGGUACCUAAUCAGAAAGCCACGGCUAACUACGUG